Long non-coding RNA from Astyanax mexicanus (Mexican tetra), 642 nucleotides. RefSeq lists it as uncharacterized. The record is from RefSeq and is a predicted model, not a curated record. NCBI's taxonomy places the organism in Eukaryota, Metazoa, Chordata, Actinopteri, Characiformes, Acestrorhamphidae. The transcript has 3 exons.
AAGUGUGCUCUGCUCUCUCGCUCUGUGGAAAGAGGAACUGAGAGUAGUGGCAGACAGCCUAGACCCUUUUCUUAGACAGGAAAACAGUUGUUGUUGAACUCAAACUAUGUGUUGUGAUAGAAAGUCCUAGAGUGUCGAAUGACAGUAAAUGUGUUGAGUGCGAUUACCAUAUAAGGGAAAUCUAUGAAAUAUCUCUGAAUGCUGAUUCAUGUUUGUAACCUUUAAAGGAUGCUGAGGGGAGGUAUAAAAAACUGCUACUGAGCUCACAGAUCUCAGAGCUGGGAAUCACAGACCUUUGUAUCUCUGUGUGCCUAACUCUCAAUAAAGCUUGUUACUCACUUUCACAUACGACGUAGAGGUUAGAUUUUAUUCUGUCUAUCACUAAUUUCCACCACAUUUCGAAUACGUGUACUAUUUAGAAGUCCUUUAUGCACAAUUUAGUAGGCAUUUAACUGCAACUGUCUGAGAGAGCUCAUCAGUACAGAAGCAGCUUCUACCUGAUCACAAUUUUCUGUUCAGAUUAGGGCAAGAAGACACAGCAAUGAGACGUCUUUUCAUCAUCAUCAUCAUCCUCGCUACGCUUACAGCUCCAGGAAUGAGCACGAAGAUCUCCAGUAAGAAGACUGAAAAAGAGGUUGGUUU